Molecule: long non-coding RNA, 648 nt
Organism: Scylla paramamosain (green mud crab)
Lineage: Eukaryota; Metazoa; Arthropoda; Malacostraca; Decapoda; Portunidae
Exons: 3
Source: RefSeq, a predicted model, not a curated record
UUUGGGUACGUAGUGCUUGCUAGCAGAGGAGGGUCAGUACACGUCAGACAGGGAGCUGUGGUGUUUAAGGGCGCUGUGUGCAGCUUCCUUAUUUAACCUGGAUUUUCUCUCAACAAGACAGUGAAGCGUGCCAUGGGUGCCUGUGUGUGCUGGUGCAGGCGUAGUGCCUCCCGGGAGGUGCCUGGAUCUGCUCAUGAGAGCCAGGAAGGCUCAUAAUACUGUAUUGUAGUUGUGGGGCUCAGCAUGACAGCGCCUGGCGAAGCUCUAUGUAAGGUACAACGCGAGCCAAUGUUACCUGGACGUCCAUUUGUAGGAGUACCAAACCCAAGACUGCCUUAUCCCCAUCUGCCUCCCCCCUACUCCCCCCGUACUCCAUGGCCCAGCAGUGACAUCAUUCCAUGUUUAAUAUGAUGCCAGCUGACGUAUUCCUGACACGGCUGUACCAGGAACAAGAAUCUGAUGGUGAAGGAAGGGGUGACGGUGAAGGUGGAGAGGUGCUGGAAGGGCUUCGUGUAGGGCAGGUGUUCUUAACCUUUUGAUGGUUCCAUACCCCCAGUGGAUUGUCGAAUAUGGUCCCAUACCCCCUUCACUUGACUGUUCAAAUAAUUAUCACCAAUCCUAUUAUUUGCCAGUAUGUCUUCCAGAUAC